This 1076-nucleotide long non-coding RNA is filed under the name Oryctolagus cuniculus (rabbit). Its description in RNAcentral is "lncRNA (ENSOCUG00000035584.1)". Lineage: Eukaryota; Metazoa; Chordata; Mammalia; Lagomorpha; Leporidae. The record is from RNAcentral.
CUCAGCACGCCCAGCUCGGACUGCAGACAGCCGCUCGCGCUCCCGGACCCCCGCCACCGAGUUCUGGGCGCCCCCCGGCUCGUAGCGCGUCAGAGCUGCGCCCGUCGCCGCGGCCCGGGGUCUUCGCCGCGCGGGCCGAGGAGCGGCAGAGUCCGCGACAUGCUGGCUCAGGAGAGCGGCGGAAGGGGCUUCUCUCCGGGACCGCGUCGGCUGCCGUCUCCUUUUCCUCGGGCAACUCUGGGGACUGAAGACUCGGUGUCGCCUGCCCAGCUCACGUUGGCCGGCAGCAAGUUAACUUCCCGGCCCCAGCCCUAGUUCAGUUGGGCGCGCGAGCGGCAAGCGGGCGCUCCUCCCCCGCGGCAGCUACGGCCGGUCAUGCGCCUGCCCGCCGUCUGCGCGCGCCCGCGUCUGGCCCGCCAGCACCGGCGCCCGCCGCCAUCAACAGGGACGCGAGAUCGGGACCCCUCCGAGUGUACAACUUUUGACUGUCCUCCUUUUGCCAUUGAGCGGGCCUCUAUUCCCUCAUCCCACUAUGUUUCUCAGCCUUCUUUUAGUAGGUACCUUUCUCUGAAGGGAGGAGAGAACUUCCACUUUGACUAUGGCCUUGUCGAAAUAAGAUCAAAGUCGGCGAGCUCAGGAGGCUUCCAUGGCCUUGGCAACUCAUGACUAGAGCCUGGGAAGAUUGCUGAUGCCUUAAACAAGAGUGGCAAUUUGUUAAGUCAACAACAGGAGUCACUGUGCACUUACUCCCCAUGUAGGAUCUCUGUCCUUAAUGUGUAGUUCAAUGUGAAUUAAUGAUAUGACUAGUGCUUAAACAGUAUUUGGCACUUUGUGUUCUUAGUGGGGGCAAACUGAUGAAAUCUUUACUUAAUAUAUACUAAAUCGAUCUUCUGUAUAUAAAGAUAAUUGAAAAUGAAUCUUGAUGUGAAUGGAAUGGGAGAGGGAGCGGGAGAUGGGAGGGUUGCAGGUGGGAGGGAAGUUAUGGGGGGGAAAAAGCCAUUGUAAUCCACAAACUGUACUUUGGAAAUUUAUAUCUACUAAAUAAAACUUUUUUUAAAAAAAGCCUUCUUGUUUUU